Molecule: long non-coding RNA, 766 nt
Organism: Mauremys reevesii (Reeves's turtle)
Lineage: Eukaryota; Metazoa; Chordata; Testudines; Geoemydidae
Exons: 4
Source: RefSeq, a predicted model, not a curated record
AAAAAGUUUCAGAAGAAGAAUUUCUCCCCACUCUGAGUGUGUUAACCAUUGACGCAGAAAGAAAUUUAGUGUUUGCCCUUGUUUCUUGUAUUUCUCCCCCCAUCCUGAUAUUCUCUGUUUUAGAAUCUGAAGUCAUCAGAAUGCUGCAUUUGUGACCUCCUAGUGUGGUGCGAUGGAAGCGAUUCUAAUGGCACAACAUCAGCGUUGUAACCUAACAUUUAAGUUUCUAUCUGGUGCCCUGCACCGUAGUAGCUGAGUUGCUCAGACAAGUUAUCCUCCCACACCACUCAGCGGUAUUCCCACUCCAGGGGGAACUGAGGCUCAGGUCCAUCUAUCUAUAGAGGUAUGUGAUUUCUGGCUGCCUCGCAGGCCUUCAUACAGUGAUGCUCACAACAGCCCAGUGACGAAGGAGAAACAUUAUUUUGAGGAACUGAGUCACAGAGAAUAAAUGACUGGCCCAAAACUACCAACUUUCUCCACUAGAGUCUCCACAUAGUAUCUUCUCCUUUGAAGACACCAUGAUCAAGUCACUACAGAUAGAAUCUCACAGCGAAAUACUGGAGCCAUCAGAAGAAUUGUUUCCUUUGUGGAAGCAAUUCUCACCUUCCCAACUUGGAAAAGCCCAAUUCUACAGGAUAAGAACAUGGGACUUUUCCAUCUAGUUUAUUACCCUGUCUCUGCUCGUUGCUAGUACCAGCUGUUCCAGAGGAAAGUGCAAGCGACCCUGCAAUGGACAGUCGAGGGAGGACCCAGAGUUUGGCUUAUA